This 909-nucleotide ribosomal RNA is filed under the name glacial bacterium PIC-C13. RNAcentral describes it as "bacterial SSU rRNA". It matches the Rfam family "Bacterial small subunit ribosomal RNA", at positions 534 to 1440 of the family's 1533-position model. The record is from RNAcentral.
GGGGACGGUUUUCGGAUUAUUGUGGCGUAGAGAGCUCGUAGGCGGUUUGUCGCGUCUGCUGUGAAAACUGGAGGCUCAACCUCCAGCCUGCAGUGGGUACGGGCAGACUAGAGUGCGGUAGGGGAGAUUGGAAUUCCUGGUGUAGCGGUGGAAUGCGCAGAUAUCAGGAGGAACACCGAUGGCGAAGGCAGAUCUCUGGGCCGUAACUGACGCUGAGGAGCGAAAGCAUGGGGAGCGAACAGGAUUAGAUACCCUGGUAGUCCAUGCCGUAAACGUUGGGAACUAGAUGUAGGGGCCAUUCCACGGCUUCUGUGUCGCAGCUAACGCAUUAAGUUCCCCGCCUGGGGAGUACGGCCGCAAGGCUAAAACUCAAAGGAAUUGACGGGGGCCCGCACAAGCGGCGGAGCAUGCGGAUUAAUUCGAUGCAACGCGAAGAACCUUACCAAGGCUUGACAUAUACGAGAACGGGCUAGAAAUAGUCAACUCUUUGGACACUCGUAAACAGGUGGUGCAUGGUUGUCGUCAGCUCGUGUCGUGAGAUGUUGGGUUAAGUCCCGCAACGAGCGCAACCCUCGUUCUUUGUUGCCAGCACGUAAUGGUGGGAACUCAAAGGAGACUGCCGGGGUCAACUCGGAGGAAGGUGGGGAUGACGUCAAAUCAUCAUGCCCCUUAUGUCUUGGGCUUCACGCAUGCUACAAUGGCCGGUACAAAGGGCUGCAAUACCGCAAGGUGGAGCGAAUCCCAAAAAGCCGGUCUCAGUUCGGAUUGAGGUCUGCAACUCGACCUCAUGAAGUCGGAGUCGCUAAUAAUCGCAGAUCAACAACGCUGCGGUGAAUACGUUCCCGGGCCUUGUACACACCGCCCGUCAAGUCAUGAAAGUCGGUAACUUCCGAAGCCUGUGGCGCAUCC